Molecule: transfer RNA, 56 nt
Filed under: Camelus bactrianus (Bactrian camel)
Lineage: Eukaryota; Metazoa; Chordata; Mammalia; Artiodactyla; Camelidae
Also listed under: 2 other names
Rfam family: tRNA
About the family: Transfer RNA (tRNA) molecules are approximately 80 nucleotides in length. Their secondary structure includes four short double-helical elements and three loops (D, anti-codon, and T loops).
Source: Rfam by way of RNAcentral
AGCUCAGUGGUAGAGCGUGUGGUUAGCAUGCACGACGUCCUGGGUUCAAUCCCCAG